Molecule: ribosomal RNA, 254 nt
Filed under: uncultured bacterium
Lineage: Bacteria
Description: partial 16S ribosomal RNA
Rfam family: Bacterial small subunit ribosomal RNA
Source: RNAcentral
UACGAGGGGGGGCGAGCGUUGUUCGGAAUUAUUGGGCGUAAAGGGUGCGUAGGCGGUUUGGUAAGUCUUGUGUGAAAUCUACAGGCUCAACUUGUAGUCUGCACGAGAAACUGCCGGGCUUGAGUAUGGGAGAGGUGAGUGGAAUUCCUGGUGUAGCGGUGAAAUGCGUAGAUAUCAGGAGGAACACCGAUGGCGAAGGCAGCUCGCUGGGACGGUACUGACGCUGAGACGCGAAAGCGUGGGGAGCAAACAGG